This 293-nucleotide ribosomal RNA is filed under the name Escherichia coli. Its description in RNAcentral is "partial 16S ribosomal RNA". It matches the Rfam family "Bacterial small subunit ribosomal RNA", at positions 1 to 290 of the family's 1533-position model. Lineage: Bacteria; Pseudomonadati; Pseudomonadota; Gammaproteobacteria; Enterobacterales; Enterobacteriaceae. The record is from RNAcentral.
AAAUUGAAGAGUUUGAUCAUGGCUCAGAUUGAACGCUGGCGGCAGGCCUAACACAUGCAAGUCGAACGGUAACAGGAAGCAGCUUGCUGCUUCGCUGACGAGUGGCGGACGGGUGAGUAAUGUCUGGGAAACUGCCUGAUGGAGGGGGAUAACUACUGGAAACGGUAGCUAAUACCGCAUAACGUCGCAAGACCAAAGAGGGGGACCCUCGGGCCUCUUGCCAUCGGAUGUGCCCAGAUGGGAUUAGCUUGUUGGUGGGGUAACGGCUCACCAAGGCGACGAUCCCUAGCUGG